GAAGAAGCGGGGCGAGAGGCGAGGGGAAGCCGGGGGGGGGAAGCGUGGUGCUGAAUUACUGGGCGGAAAGGGGUCGGAGGGGGCCAACUGAGUCGGACGUGAAAUCCCUCGGCGUAACCGGGGAACUGCUUCCGAUACUGGAUGGCUUGAGUUUGGGAGAGGGAUGCGGAAUUCCAGGUGUAGCGGUGAAAUGCGUAGAUAUCUGGAGGAACACCGGUGGCGAAGGCGGCAUCCUGGACCAACACUGACACUGAGGAGCGAAAGCCAGGGGAGCAAACGGGAUUAGAUACCCGUGUAGUC
Molecule: ribosomal RNA, 300 nt
Filed under: uncultured Enterococcus sp.
Lineage: Bacteria; Bacillati; Bacillota; Bacilli; Lactobacillales; Enterococcaceae
Description: bacterial SSU rRNA
Rfam family: Bacterial small subunit ribosomal RNA (bases 53-300)
Source: RNAcentral